CUACCAUGCAGUCGAGCGGAGAGAGAAGCUUGCUUCUCAAUUCAGCGGCGGACGGGUGAGUAACGCCUAGGAAUCUGCCUGGUAGUGGGGGACAACGUUUCGAAAGGAACGCUAAUACCGCAUACGUCCUACGGGAGAAAGCAGGGGACCUUCGGGCCUUGCGCUAUCAGAUGAGCCUAGGUCGGAUUAGCUAGUUGGUGGGGUAAUGGCUCACCAAGGCGACGAUCCGUAACUGGUCUGAGAGGAUGAUCAGUCACACUGGAACUGAGACACGGUCCAGACUCCUACGGGAGGCAGCAGUGGGGAAUAUUGGACAAUGGGCGAAAGCCUGAUCCAGCCAUGCCGCGUGUGUGAAGAAGGUCUUCGGAUUGUAAAGCACUUUAAGUUGGGAGGAAGGGCAGUAAAUUAAUACUUUGCUGUUUUGACGUUACCGACAGAAUAAGCACCGGC
RNAcentral lists this ribosomal RNA (450 nucleotides) under Burkholderia sp. MRhNF2(11). RNAcentral's name for it is "bacterial SSU rRNA". It matches the Rfam family "Bacterial small subunit ribosomal RNA", at positions 49 to 497 of the family's 1533-position model. The record is from RNAcentral. Lineage: Bacteria; Pseudomonadati; Pseudomonadota; Betaproteobacteria; Burkholderiales; Burkholderiaceae.